AUGCCCCCGCGGCGCGGCGGCCGGGAGCGCCGGGCCGGGGCGGCCGCGCUGGGAGGAGGCACGCCCCCCGCCGUCGGCCGGGCAGUCGGCCGGGACUCGCGGCCACCCCGGGUCCGCGCCCUGCCGCGCGCCGCCGUUGCGGGCGGAGAGCUCGGUUCCGGCCGGGCGGCGCCCUCGGCCGGGCCAGGCCGCUCCCUGCACUCUGCCCUCUGGCCCCGGCGCGCGGCCGGCUCCCGGCCUUCCGCGGUCCUGCGCUCGGACUCGCGGGCUUCGGCGCCGGCCCGCCCGGCUCUCCCGCUCCGCGAUCCUCGCCUCGGCUCGGUCCCCAGUCACGGCUUCGGAGGCUGGUCGCGGCGCCCCAGGCUCAGACCCGGGCUCACCGCUCGCGGGCCGGGCUUCCAAGACCCGCACUUAACACAGUUCAGUUCCAAGCCGGGACUGGGAGCGGGGCGCUCGCUGCCGGUUGCUUGCUGCUGCGAGCCGACUCCACAGCCUCAGAGGAGAAAGAGGGAGGGAGACCGAGAGCGGGCUGGGGUUGGAGGAGGAGGAAGGGUGGGGAGAUGGAGGAGGAGGGAGGGACAGAGAGUUCCCUCCUCCUCCCUGCGGCCAGGUCCCUCCAGGCAGCAACAGCUGGAAACCUCUGCUGCCCAGGGAAGAGCGAGGGUUCCUGGGCGGCGCACGCGGGUGGAGGUGGGUGAAGGGAUGGAGAGAAUGGAAGAAAGAGGUGGAUUCCUCUCAUUCUCACUGCCCAGGUAUGAGGUCAUUCCAGGGGAUCUUCGCUCCUUAGAGCAAGACCCAAGAAGUUGUCGAUCCAACUCCCAGCCUUCCAACCCCUCCAGACAGAUAAUCUGGACUUCAAAACCCUGUUUCAGAACCUCCCUUAGGAAUAUGAUCCCACCUGCAGCUGGACGGCUUCCUAAUGUGGCAGACCACUCCCCAGCCCUGUCAUUUUGCACUCUCUCAAGUCCUUUUAUUUUUUCCCUGACCUGUUUGAUAUUGUGGGGGAGGGGAGGAUGGAUUAAUUUGAAUCAG
Molecule: long non-coding RNA, 1032 nt
Organism: Bos indicus x Bos taurus (hybrid cattle)
Lineage: Eukaryota; Metazoa; Chordata; Mammalia; Artiodactyla; Bovidae
Source: Ensembl